GCGUCCAUGGAUCUAGCUGUUGGAGGAUCGACCCCUUCAGUAGCGAAGCUAACGCGUUAAGUAUCCCGCCUGUGGAGUACGGCCGCAAGGCUAAAACAUAAAGGAAUUGACGGGGACCCGCACAAGCGGUGGAUCAUGUUCUUUAAUUCGAUGAUAAACGAAGAACCUUACCAGGGUUUGACAUCCCGAGAAGGCCUCCGAAAGGAGACUGUGCUUUAUUGAACUCGGUGACAGAUGAUGCAUGGCCGUCGUCAGCUCGUGUCGUGAGAUGUUUGGUUAAGUCCAUCAACGAGCGCAACCCUUGUCAGUAGUUGUAUUUUUCUACUGAGACUGCCCCGGUAACGGGGAGGAAGGAGGGGAUGAUGUCAGGUCAGUAUUUCUCUUACAUCCUGGGCUAGAAACGUGAUACAAUGGCAAGUACAAUGCGCAGCGAAGCCGCGAGGUGAAGCAAAUCGCAUCAAAGCUUGUCCCAGUUCGGAUAAGAGGCUGAAACUCGCCUCUUUGAAGUCGGAAUCGCUAGUAAUCGCAAGUCAGCAAAUUGCGGUGAAUACGUUCCCGGGUCUUGUACACACCGCCCGUCAAGCCAUGAAAGUCACCAACACCCGAAGUCCGAUUCGUCGGCCUAAGGUGGGGGGGAUGAUUGGGGUUAAGUCGUAACAAGGUACCAAUCCCGCGGCC
Molecule: ribosomal RNA, 678 nt
Filed under: uncultured bacterium
Lineage: Bacteria
Description: bacterial SSU rRNA
Rfam family: Bacterial small subunit ribosomal RNA
Source: RNAcentral